GACGAACGCUGGCGGCGUGCUUAACACAUGCAAGUCGAACGGGAAGGCCCUGCUUUUGUGGGGUGCUCGAGUGGCGAACGGGUGAGUAACACGUGAGUAACCUGCCCUUGACUUUGGGACAACUUCAGGAAACUGGGGCUAAUACCGGAUAGGAGCUCCUGCUGCAUGGUGGGGGUUGGAAAGUUUCGGCGGUUGGGGAUGGACUCGCGGCUUAUCAGCUUGUUGGUGGGGUAGUGGCUUACCAAGGCUUUGACGGGUAGCCGGCCUGAGAGGGUGACCGGCCACAUUGGGACUGAGAUACGGCCCAGACUCCUACGGGAGGCAGCAGUGGGGAAUAUUGCACAAUGGGCGGAAGCCUGAUGCAGCAACGCCGCGUGCGGGAUGACGGCCUUCGGGUUGUAAACCGCUUUCGCCUGUGACGAAGCGUGAGUGACGGUAAUGGGUAAAGAAGCACCGGCUAACUACGUG
Molecule: ribosomal RNA, 468 nt
Filed under: uncultured bacterium
Lineage: Bacteria
Description: partial 16S ribosomal RNA
Rfam family: Bacterial small subunit ribosomal RNA
Source: RNAcentral